CGGCCUGUUCCAUCACCAUCCUGUCACUGACAGACACAUCGCACUGAUGACCCAGACGAGAGCAGCCAUGGAAGCAGGGAAAAUAAUGGAGGACCACCGGCCUUCACACCACUGUUCUCAAAGCACACGCUAAGGACAUGCACAUACUUUUAUGUGGGAGUUCACUGGCUCUGCAGCAUCUC
This is a long non-coding RNA of Puntigrus tetrazona (Sumatra barb), 182 nucleotides long. RefSeq lists it as uncharacterized. The transcript has 3 exons. NCBI's taxonomy places the organism in Eukaryota, Metazoa, Chordata, Actinopteri, Cypriniformes, Cyprinidae. The record is from RefSeq and is a predicted model, not a curated record.